GACGAACGCUGGCGGCGCGCUUAACACAUGCAAGUCGAACGGAAAGGCCCUGCUUUUGUGGCGUGCUCGAGUGGCGAACGGGUGAGUAACACGUGAGUAACCUGCCCUUGACUUUGGGAUAACUUCAGGAAACUGGGGCUAAUACCGGAUAGGAGCUCCUGCUGCAUGGUGGGGGUUGGAAAGUUUCGGCGGUUGGGGAUGGACUCGCGGCUUAUCAGCUUGUUGGUGGGGUAGUGGCUUACCAAGGCUUUGACGGGUAGCCGGCCUGAGAGGGUGACCGGCCACAUUGGGACUGAGAUACGGCCCAGACUCCUACGGGAGGCAGCAGGGGGGAAUAUUGCACAAUGGGCGGAAGCCUGAUGCAGCAACGCCGCGUGCGGGAUGACGGCCUUCGGGUUGUAAACCGCUUUCGCCUGUGACGAAGCGUGAGUGACGGUAAUGGGUAAAGAAGCACCGGCUAACUACGUG
Molecule: ribosomal RNA, 468 nt
Filed under: uncultured bacterium
Lineage: Bacteria
Description: partial 16S ribosomal RNA
Rfam family: Bacterial small subunit ribosomal RNA
Source: RNAcentral